GGGUGGUACACAGCUGUUGCAUGGCUGUCGUCAGCUCGUGACGUGAGUUGUUCUCUUAAGUGAGGUAACGAGCGCAACCCCCAUUCUGUGUUACUAUGUCACAGAAGACUGCCCAGCAUUAUUUGUUGGGAGGAAGAGGGACGACGUCAAGUCAUCAUGAUGCUUAUAUCCGGGGCUACACACAUCCUACAAUGGGUGGUACAGAGGGUCGCAAUACCGCGAGGUGGAGCUAAUCCUUAAAACCUCCCUCAGUUGGGAUUGCAGGCUGAAACUCGCCUGCAUGAACUUGGAAUUGGUAGUAAUCGCAAAUCAGCAGAUUGCGGUGAAUACGUUCUCGCCUCUU
RNAcentral lists this ribosomal RNA (343 nucleotides) under uncultured Microgenomates group bacterium. RNAcentral describes it as "bacterial SSU rRNA". It matches the Rfam family "Bacterial small subunit ribosomal RNA", at positions 1025 to 1382 of the family's 1533-position model. The record is from RNAcentral.